UUAGCUCAUAUUUGUAUGGAAUGGGAUCGUUUGCGUACGUUUGCCGCUAGGGGCGCUGUUCCAACUGCAUACAAAACUGGGUUA
This 84-nucleotide microRNA precursor is filed under the name Bombyx mori (domestic silkworm). RNAcentral's name for it is "mir-2807 microRNA precursor family". It matches the Rfam family "mir-2807 microRNA precursor family". The record is from Rfam by way of RNAcentral. Lineage: Eukaryota; Metazoa; Arthropoda; Insecta; Lepidoptera; Bombycidae.